UUCUGGGUGGCAGAAUUACAUGCGAUAGCCUUAAAAUCUAUAGAUAAGAAUUUAUUUCUUCCUAGAAA
This 68-nucleotide transfer RNA is filed under the name Dreissena rostriformis. Its description in RNAcentral is "tRNA-Leu". It matches the Rfam family "tRNA". Rfam says of the family: Transfer RNA (tRNA) molecules are approximately 80 nucleotides in length. Their secondary structure includes four short double-helical elements and three loops (D, anti-codon, and T loops). Lineage: Eukaryota; Metazoa; Mollusca; Bivalvia; Myida; Dreissenidae. The record is from RNAcentral.